This 491-nucleotide ribosomal RNA is filed under the name uncultured bacterium. Its description in RNAcentral is "partial 16S ribosomal RNA". It matches the Rfam family "Bacterial small subunit ribosomal RNA", at positions 29 to 507 of the family's 1533-position model. The record is from RNAcentral.
GUGAACGCUGGCGGUAGGCCUAACACAUGCAAGUCGAACGGCAGCACAGUAAGCGCUUGCUCUUACGGGUGGCGAGUGGCGGACGGGUAAGGAAUACAUCGGAAUCUACUUUUUCGUGGGGGAUAACGUAGGGAAACUUACGCUAAUACCGCAUACGACCUACGGGUGAAAGCAGGGGAUCUUCGGACCUUGCGCGAUUGAAUGAGCCGAUGUCGGAUUAGCUAGUUGGCGGGGUAAAGGCCCACCAAGGCGACGAUCCGUAGCUGGUCUGAGAGGAUGAUCAGCCACACUGGAACUGAGACACGGUCCAGACUCCUACGGGAGGCAGAAGUGGGGAAUAUUGGACAAUGGGCGCAAGCCUGAUCCAGCCAUACCGCGUGGGUGAAGAAGGCCUUCGGGUUGUAAAGCCCUUUUGUUGGGAAAGAAAAGCAGCAGGUUAAUACCCCGCUGUUCUGACGGUACCCAAAGAAUAAGCACCGGCUAACUUCGUG